GGAAUGAAGAAGGGAAUAAAACAUGAGUUAGAGAAAUAGAUGAAAAUUGGAAAAGAAAAAAAAUCCACAUGACUUAAGGGGAACAGUUUCCAGAAAUGUUAGGUAGCAAGGUGGGUCAGCUGGUCAGUGCAGAUAAAGUUAAAUCCAGGGGCACUGGAGGCCAGUGAGGUGAAAAGAGGGCCAGGCGUGUAAACGAAAGGGAAGAAAGAGCAGACAGCCCCGGUGCCCAUGUAUUUGUACUGGGUGCUCUAGAGUAACUGCCCAUCAAACAGCAGCUUUCCCUUGAAUUGAAACCAGAUGUCAGACUUCAAAGGGAAGGAGGCUGGGCAGAGGGGUAACUUGCCUCAAUUCUGAUCUUCCCAGGGCCAGGCAGGCUUUGAAAUGGGAAACCUGUUGCUCACCGUCACCAGUGCCAUUUGGGGCAGGUUGGGGUGGAGAGCACAAUCAGGGACCGAGGUCAUUAGUAACUGUCCAGCUAGUCCUGAAACUGGGCCAGCCUGGGAAGAUAAAGGACUGGACAAAGGAUUGGAGGGAAUUAUGAGUUGGCCCCCACCUCGCCGAGGAACCUCUGGAGGGUGGCUUCCUCUCUCUAGGCUCAGUUUCCUCAUCUGUCCAAGAAGAUUUGUCCUGGCUGUAUGAUUUUUUUUCAAACUGUAUGUCACUCUGAUCAUACCGAGUUGAUUGUAGGUUGUGGAGUCAAUUUAAUGGGUCAUGAUGAGACUUAAAAAUAAGAACUAAGGAUCAGGGAUUUAGCUCAGUGGUGCCGAGCCUGCCUCGCAAGUGCAAGGUCCUGAGUUCGCUCCUUGGUAUUGAAAAAAUAAAUGUCCUGACUCAUGUCAGGUCCAAAGGAUACAAAUGAGAACUCUGUUAUUUCACAGUGCACUGGCAGGUAAGGAGGAGCACUGCUUUGGGAGCCUUUUGUUCCUGUCACAUUUACCUAGAACAGGUUUGCGAGGCUACAAUCUAAGUACUUCACAUUGAUGAUAUUUUAUGUAACCCUCAUAACAAUCCGAGGGGUGCAGAUUGACUAUUACCAUAUCCAUUUUCCUGCUGAGACACUGAGGCACUUGUCUGAAGUUAUACAACCAGCAAUGGUAAGGAAGGACUUGGCUUUAGCCACCUGUGUCUGGAAUACAAGCACUUCACCAGGCAUCACACCCCAUGUGCGGACAUGGGUGUGUUUGUAAGUGAAAGAGUUGCUAAAAAGAUUUAUUUUAAAUAGUGGGUCAUAAUCAAAUAUAUUUGGAGGCCACUGGCCUAGACUCUCCGGCUGCUCUACAUUGCUGACUCCUGGCUCUAAGGUGGUUACAAAUGAAGCCAGUUUGUAUGAGGUGGGGUUCAGUACCUGGAGGCCCUGUGUUGCACCUUCAGCAUGCUGCUGGAAACUGGGCCUCACCCUGCAUAAUGGGAAGCAAGUGUUUUCCUACCAGGAUGCCCUUCAGUCUCCGAUUCCAAGCAAGACCGAAUCUGAAAACCAGCAGCAUUUCAUGGAUUUUCUGAUUUGCACCUCGCGGGGAGGGGGGCAUCUGCCAAGCAAACCGGCUGCUCUCUGACAUCCCAGUGUGGUCCUCAUCUACCUCCCACCCCAAGGAAAAGAUAAUCGGUUUAGUCAUGGCCACCUCUCGUUUGCUGAUCCUCCUUAUGACUCUGAAGAACACACUGACUCUGCCCCUGCUGAGAACAGUUCGAGCUGCAGCCUGCCUACCCUGGCUCUGCCUGGCCUCAGUCCCUUUCCCAUCCCCCAUUAAUCUUUGCUAUCAGCAUCCAGAUGUCCGGGACAGGAUAGAUGUCACGUGUCAUCAUGUCUGCUGCUGGCGCCAAAGUCUUUGGGCUCCUUGGAGCAGAGAUGCUGCACAGGGCCAGGCAUCGCAUGGCUGUUUAACCUUCCUAAAUGACGAGGGCCCUUCGGUGGGCAGACAGGUGUCACCUUCACGUGCUGUGGCCAAUUUGAGUAGGGCUUCUGUAUUCCACCUGCACAUGCCUGUCUCUUUACUACCCGUGGUGUGACCUACUGUCUCUUUCUAUCUUUCUCUCAAUAUCUGGACUCCUCCAGCUCCAGGGACUGGGAAGAAGGCAGAAAACAUUUUCAAAGACAACACUGUGCUGGAGCUCUGAGGUAGAAAUUGUACAUGAGAUGUUCUUCGCCUUUUUAAAAAAAUAAAUAUUUCUCUCCAGUAAUAAAUGUUUCAUUGCAUCCAAAGUUCUCCUUUACAGUCGACUUGGCACAGACAGUCAAGGAGGAGGAGAACAAAGCAGGCAAAAAGGAAGGGUGGUGGGAAUGGUGGGCAGAAACCGGGGAAGCCACUGUCACCAAAUGCGUCUCAGAAAUAACUGCCACUCAUCUUGGUGUCAGACCAAGAGCCUGUCCUUCCCCUCCCACCCCCUUCCUUGCCUCUUCUCUGAAACCAGCCAUCGGAUCUGAACACAAAAAUAAAUUGUUAAUCAAUGCAUGCCAUCCUGUUUAAUUAAUUUGUUGUACCAAACAGGGAAGGUGGGGGCAGGGGGCUGUUGCACUGGGAGAAAAUGAUGCUAAGGUAAUGGGCUUUUUUUCCUCCCUGUUUGUAAAUCAUGAUCCUGAUAUUUCUCUCUUCAAACUCCCCCUUGAAGACUACAAAGAAAUUUUUAAAAGCUGCCUUCAUUCUAGUGGAUGUGGGAAUUUAGCCAGAUAGAAUCAGAAGGUGUGUGUGUGUGUGUGUGUGUGUGUGUAUGUGUGAGGGACAGACAUGAGAGAGAGGGAGGGAGGGAGGAAAG
Non-coding RNA from Heterocephalus glaber (naked mole-rat), 2751 nucleotides. Lineage: Eukaryota; Metazoa; Chordata; Mammalia; Rodentia; Bathyergidae. The record is from RefSeq and is a predicted model, not a curated record.